AGGGCACCACCAGGAGUGGAGCCUGCGGCUUAAUUUGACUCAACACGGGGAAACUUACCCGGCCUGGACACUGGAAGGAUUGACAGAUUGAGAGCUCUUUCUUGAUUCAGUGGGUGGUGGUGCAUGGCCGUUCUUAGUUGGUGGAGCGAUCUGUCUGGUUAAUUCCGAUAACGAACGAGACUCUAGCCUAUUAAAUAGGCUCUCGGCUUUUAAACGCCGGGAGGACUUCUUAGAGGGACAGGUGGCGGUUCAGCCGCACGAAAGAGAGCAAUAACAGGUCUGUGAUGCCCUUUGUUGUCCGGGGCCGCACGCGCGCUACACUGAAGAGAUCAGCGUGCUUUACGCUCCUGCUCCGACCGGAGUGGGGAACCCAGUGAACCUUCUUCGUGGUUGGGAUAGAAGAUUGUAAUUAUUCUUCUUGAACGAGGAAUUCCCAGUAAAUGCGAGUCAUAAGCUCGCGUUGAUUACGUCCCUGCCCUUUGUACACACCGCCCGUCGCUACUACCGAUUGAACGAUUU
RNAcentral lists this ribosomal RNA (519 nucleotides) under uncultured eukaryote. RNAcentral's name for it is "SSU rRNA". It matches the Rfam family "Eukaryotic small subunit ribosomal RNA", at positions 1161 to 1699 of the family's 1831-position model. The record is from RNAcentral.